This 253-nucleotide ribosomal RNA is filed under the name uncultured bacterium. RNAcentral describes it as "partial 16S ribosomal RNA". It matches the Rfam family "Bacterial small subunit ribosomal RNA", at positions 524 to 776 of the family's 1533-position model. The record is from RNAcentral.
UACGUAGGCAGCGAGCGUUGUUCGGAGUUACUGGGCGUAAAGAGUGCGUAGGCGGUUUUCUAAGUUUGGUGUGAAAUCUCCCGGCUCAACUGGGAGGGUGCGCCGAAGACUGGAAGGCUAGAGUAUGGGAGAGGUAAGCGGAAUUCCUGGUGUAGCGGUGAAAUGCAUAGAUACCACCAAGAACCCCGAUUGCGUAGGCAGCUCGCUGAGCCGAAACUGACGCUGAGGCACGAAAGCGUGGGGAGCGAACAGG